RNAcentral lists this ribosomal RNA (330 nucleotides) under uncultured bacterium. RNAcentral's name for it is "bacterial SSU rRNA". It matches the Rfam family "Bacterial small subunit ribosomal RNA", at positions 568 to 898 of the family's 1533-position model. The record is from RNAcentral.
UGUGUAGGCGGUCCCCUAAGUUUGGUGUGAAAUCUCCCGGCUCAACCGGGAGGGUGCGCCGAAAACUGGAGGACUAGAGUGCGGGAUGGGAGAGUGGAAUUCCUGGUGUAGCGGUGAAAUGCGUAGAUAUCAGGAGGAACACCGGUGGUGUAGACGGCUCUCUGGACCGUAACUGACGCUGAGACACGAAAGCGUGGGUAGCAAACAGGAUUAGAUACCCUGGUAGUCCACGCCCUAAACGAUGCAUAUUUGGUGUAGGUCAUUCAGUUGAUCUGUGCCGGAGCUAACGCGUUAAAUAUGCCGCCUGGGGAGUACAGUCGCAAGGCUGAA